CUGCCUAACAUUGCAAUUGUCCGGCGCUGCAUUCGGUGCGGCGGGCAAUCUAUCCUUGGGCGAGAAUGAAUCCAAGGGGAGGGCGCUUUCCUAGCUCUUCCCGCCUGAUUUUUAAGCUCCGGCGGUCCUGCCUUAUACCAGGGUUCGCCGGUGACAAAUCAGGCAAAUU
RNAcentral lists this small nucleolar RNA (169 nucleotides) under Zea mays. Its description in RNAcentral is "Zm_61". Lineage: Eukaryota; Viridiplantae; Streptophyta; Magnoliopsida; Poales; Poaceae. The record is from RNAcentral.